RNAcentral lists this ribosomal RNA (422 nucleotides) under uncultured Oscillospiraceae bacterium. Its description in RNAcentral is "bacterial SSU rRNA". It matches the Rfam family "Bacterial small subunit ribosomal RNA", at positions 355 to 794 of the family's 1533-position model. Lineage: Bacteria; Bacillati; Bacillota; Clostridia; Eubacteriales; Oscillospiraceae. The record is from RNAcentral.
UGGGGAAUAUUGCACAAUGGGGGAAACCCUGAUGCAGCGACGCCGCGUGGAGGAAGAAGGUUUUCGGAUUGUAAACUCCUGUCUUCGGGGACGAUAAUGACGGUACCCGAGGAGGAAGCCACGGCUAACUACGUGCCAGCAGCCGCGGUAAAACGUAGGUGGCAAGCGUUGUCCGGAAUUACUGGGUGUAAAGGGAGCGCAGGCGGGUCGGCAAGUUGGAGGUGAAAGCUGUGGGCUCAACUCACAAACUGCCUUCAAAACUGCCGGUCUUGAGUGGUGUAGAGGUAGGCGGAAUUCCCGGUGUAGCGGUGGAAUGCGUAGAUAUCGGGAGGAACACCAGUGGCGAAGGCGGCCUACUGGGCACUAACUGACGCUGAGGCUCGAAAGCAUGGGUAGCAAACAGGAUUAGAUACCCUGGUAGU